The submitters of this non-coding RNA (69 nucleotides) gave its source as unclassified sequences. The record is from Rfam.
GGGCACCUACGGGGGCCUAGAACAUCAGGGAAGCGAAAGCUUCCCGCACAAGCAAACGGAAGACAGUUA